ACAGAGGGUGCAAGCGUUAAUCGGAAUUACUGGGCGUAAAGCGCGCGUAGGUGGUUAUGUAAGUUGAAUGUGAAAUCCCCGGGCUCAACCUGGGAACUGCAUCCAAAACUGCAUGGCUAGAGUACGGUAGAGGGUGGUGGAAUUUCCUGUGUAGCGGUGAAAUGCGUAGAUAUAGGAAGGAACACCAGUGGCGAAGGCGACCACCUGGACUGAUACUGACACUGAGGUGCGAAAGCGUGGGGAGCAAACAGG
This 252-nucleotide ribosomal RNA is filed under the name uncultured bacterium. Its description in RNAcentral is "partial 16S ribosomal RNA". It matches the Rfam family "Bacterial small subunit ribosomal RNA", at positions 525 to 776 of the family's 1533-position model. The record is from RNAcentral.